GACGAACCGUGCGAACGUUGUUCGGAAUCACUGGGCUUAAAGGGCGCGUAGGCGGGUUCGCAAGUCUGUGGUGAAAGCCUCCAGCUUAACUGGAGAAGUGCCAUGGAUACUGCGCAUCUUGAGGAGGGUAGGGGCGUCUGGAACGGUCGGUGGAGCGGUGAAAUGCGUUGAUAUCUACAGGAACUCCGGUGGCGAAAGCGGCGUGCUGGACCUUUUCUGACGCUGAGGCGCGAAAGCUAGGGGAGCAAACGGG
RNAcentral lists this ribosomal RNA (253 nucleotides) under uncultured bacterium. RNAcentral describes it as "partial 16S ribosomal RNA". It matches the Rfam family "Bacterial small subunit ribosomal RNA", at positions 524 to 776 of the family's 1533-position model. The record is from RNAcentral.